GAACGCUGGCGGCAGGCCUAACACAUGCAAGUCGAGCGCACCUUCGGGUGAGCGGCGGACGGGUUAGUAACGCGUGGGAACAUACCCUUUUCUACGGAAUAGCCUCGGGAAACUGAGAGUAAUACCGUAUAAGCCCUUCGGGGGAAAGAUUUAUCGGGAAAGGAUUGGCCCGCGUUAGAUUAGAUAGUUGGUGGGGUAAUGGCCUACCAAGUCUACGAUCUAUAGCUGGUUUUAGAGGAUGAUCAGCAACACUGGGACUGAGACACGGCCCAGACUCCUACGGGAGGCAGCAGUGGGGAAUCUUAGACAAUGGGCGCAAGCCUGAUCUAGCCAUGCCGCGUGUGUGAUGAAGGUCUUAGGAUCGUAAAGCACUUUCGCCAGGGAUGAUAAUGACAGUACCUGGUAAAGAAACCCCGGCUAACUCCGUGCCAGCAGCCGCGGUAAUACGGAGGGGGUUAGCGUUGUUCGGAAUUACUGGGCGUAAAGCGUACGUAGGCGGAUUGGAAAGUUGGGGGUGAAAUCCCAGGGCUCAACCCUGGAACUGCCUCCAAAACUAUCAGUCUAGAGUUCGAGAGAGGUGAGUGGAAUUCCAAGUGUAGAGGUGAAAUUCGUAGAUAUUUGGAGGAACACCAGUGGCGAAGGCGGCUCACUGGCUCGAUACUGACGCUGAGGUACGAAAGUGUGGGGAGCAAACAGGAUUAGAUACCCUGGUAGUCCACACCGUAAACGAUGAAUGCCAGUCGUCGGGCAGUAUACUGUUCGGUGACACACCUAACGGAUUAAGC
RNAcentral lists this ribosomal RNA (785 nucleotides) under alpha proteobacterium HA-mar-Is3-14+28. RNAcentral describes it as "bacterial SSU rRNA". It matches the Rfam family "Bacterial small subunit ribosomal RNA", at positions 31 to 865 of the family's 1533-position model. The record is from RNAcentral. Lineage: Bacteria; Pseudomonadati; Pseudomonadota; Alphaproteobacteria.